This is a long non-coding RNA of Oncorhynchus keta (chum salmon), 1059 nucleotides long. RefSeq lists it as uncharacterized. Lineage: Eukaryota; Metazoa; Chordata; Actinopteri; Salmoniformes; Salmonidae. The record is from RefSeq and is a predicted model, not a curated record. The transcript has 3 exons.
UAGAGUGUGGAGGUGGCAGGUAGCCUAGUGGUUAGAGUGUAGAGGAGGCAGGUAGCCUAGUGGUUAGAGUGUAGAGGAGGCAGGUAGCCUAGUGGUUAGAGUGUAGAGGAGGCAGGUAGCCUAGUGGUUAGAGUGUAGAGGUGGCAGGGUAGCCUAGUGGUUAGAGUGUAGAGGUGGCAGGUAGCCUAGUGGUUAGAGUGUAGAGGUGGCAGGUAGCCUAGUGGUUAGAGUGUAGAGGUGGCAGGUAGCCUAGUGGUUAGAGUGUAGAGGUGGCAGGUAGCCUAGUGGUUAGAGUGUAGAGGAGGCAGGUAGCCUAGUGGUUAGAGUGUAGAGGCGGCAGGUAGCCUAGUGGUUAGAGUGUAGAGGAGGCAGGUAGUCUAGUGGUUAGAGUGUAGAGGAGGCAGGUAGCCUAGUGGUUAGAGUGUAGAGGUGGCAGGUAGCCUAGUGGUUAGAGUGUAGAGGUGGCAGGUAGCCUAGUGGUUAGAGUGUAGAGGUGGCAGGUAGCCUAGUGGUUAGAGUGUAGAGGAGGCAGGGUAGCCUAGUGGUUAGAGUGUAGAGGAGGCAGGUAGCCUAGUGGUUAGAGUGUAGAGGAGGCAGGUAGCCUAGUGGUUAGAGUGUAGAGGAGGCAGGUAGCCUAGUGGUUAGAGUGUAGAGGUGGCAGGUAGCCUAGUGGUUAGAGUGUAGAGGUGGCAGGUAGCCUAGUGGUUAGAGUGUAGAGGAGGCAGGUAGCCUAGUGGUUAGAGUGUAGAGGUGGCAGGUAGCCUAGUGGUUAGAGUGUAGAGGAGGCAGGUAGCCUAGUGGUUAGAGUGUAGAGGUGGCAGGUAGCCUAGUGGUUAGAGUGUAGAGGUGGCAGGGUAGCCUAGUGGUUAGAGUGUAGAGGAGGCAGGUAGCCUAGUGGUUAGAGUGUAGAGGAGGCAGGUAGCCUAGUGGUUAGAGUGUAGAGGUGGCAGGUAGCCUAGUGGUUAGAGUGUAGAGGAGGCAGGUAGCCUAGUGGUUAGAGUGUAGAGGUGGCAGGUAGCCUAGUGGUUAGAGUGUAGAGGAGGCAGGUAGCCUAGUGGU